RNAcentral lists this ribosomal RNA (217 nucleotides) under uncultured Pseudomonas sp. RNAcentral's name for it is "partial 16S ribosomal RNA". It matches the Rfam family "Bacterial small subunit ribosomal RNA", at positions 1167 to 1382 of the family's 1533-position model. Lineage: Bacteria; Pseudomonadati; Pseudomonadota; Gammaproteobacteria; Pseudomonadales; Pseudomonadaceae. The record is from RNAcentral.
AGGAAGGUCGGGGAUGACGUCAAGUCAUCAUGGCCCUUACGGCCUGGGCUACACACGUGCUACAAUGGUCGGUACAAAGGGUUGCCAAGCCGCGAGGUGGAGCUAAUCCCAUAAAACCGAUCGUAGUCCGGAUCGCAGUCUGCAACUCGACUGCGUGAAGUCGGAAUCGCUAGUAAUCGUGAAUCAGAAUGUCACGGUGAAUACGUUCCCGGGCCUU